GACGAACGCUGGCGGCGUGCUUAACACAUGCAAGUCGAACGGAAAGGCCCUGCUUUUGUGGGGUGCUCGAGUGGCGAACGGGUGAGUAACACGUGAGUAACCUGCCCUUGACUUUGGGAUAACUUCAGGAAACUGGGACUAAUACCGGAUAGGAGCUCCUGCUGCAUGGUGGGGGUUGGAAAGUUUCGGCGGUUGGGGAUGGACUCGCGGCUUAUCAGCUUGUUGGUGGGGUAGUGGCUUACCAAGGCUUUGACGGGUAGCCGGCCUGAGAGGGUGACCGGCCACAUUGGGACUGAGAUACGGCCCAGACUCCUACGGGAGGCAGCAGUGGGGAAUAUUGCACAAUGGGCGGAAGCCUGAUGCAGCAACGCCGCGUGCGGGAUGACGGCCUUCGGGUUGUAAACCGCUUUCGCCUGUGACGAAGCGUGAGUGACGGUAAUGGGUAAAGAAGCACCGGCGAACUACGU
RNAcentral lists this ribosomal RNA (467 nucleotides) under uncultured bacterium. RNAcentral's name for it is "partial 16S ribosomal RNA". It matches the Rfam family "Bacterial small subunit ribosomal RNA", at positions 28 to 506 of the family's 1533-position model. The record is from RNAcentral.